RNAcentral lists this ribosomal RNA (439 nucleotides) under uncultured bacterium. RNAcentral's name for it is "partial 16S ribosomal RNA". It matches the Rfam family "Bacterial small subunit ribosomal RNA", at positions 338 to 795 of the family's 1533-position model. The record is from RNAcentral.
CCUACGGGUGGCAGCAGUAGGGAAUAUUGCUCAAUGGGGGAAACCCUGAAGCAGCAACGCCGCGUGGAGGAUGAAGGUUUUCGGAUUGUAAACUCCUUUUGUUAGAGAAGAAAAUGACGGUAUCUAACGAAUAAGCACCGGAGAACUCCGAGACAGCAGCCGCGGUAAUACGGGGGGUGCAAGCGUUACUCGGAAUAACUGGGCGAAAAGAGCGCGUAGGCGGGAUAGCAAGUCAGAUGUGAAAUCCUAUGGCUAAACCAUAGAGCUGCAUUUGAAACUGUUAUUUUAGAGUAUGGUAGAGUUAGGUGAAUUCUUGGUGUAGCGGUCAAAUCCGUAGAGAUCAAGCAGAAUACUCAUUGCGAAGGCGACCUGCUAGAACAUAACUGACGCUGAUGCGCGAAAGCGUGGGUAGCAAACAGGAUUAGAUACCCGAGUAGUC